CUUGGUGAUUUGACGCAGAGGUCACACCCGUUCUCAUUCCGAACACGGAAGUUAAGCUCUGUAGUGCCGAUGAUACUUGCAAAGGGAAAGUAGGUAAUCGCCAAGA
RNAcentral lists this ribosomal RNA (106 nucleotides) under Candidatus Zambryskibacteria bacterium CG22_combo_CG10-13_8_21_14_all_42_17. The record is from RNAcentral. Lineage: Bacteria; Candidatus Zambryskiibacteriota.